GACGUAGGUGGCGAGCGUUGUUCGGAAUCACUGGGCAUAAAGCGCACGUAGGCGGCCAAGUCAGUCAGGUGUGAAAUACCUCGGCUCAACCGAGGAACUGCGCCUGAUACUGCUUGGCUUGAGGUCCGGAGGGGAGAGUGGAACUCCCGGUGGAGCGGUGAAAUACGUAGAGAUCGGGAAGAACGCCGGCGGCGAAAGCGACUCUCUGGUCGGAAUCUGACGCUGAGGUGCGAAAGCCAGGGGAGCAAACGGG
RNAcentral lists this ribosomal RNA (253 nucleotides) under uncultured bacterium. Its description in RNAcentral is "partial 16S ribosomal RNA". It matches the Rfam family "Bacterial small subunit ribosomal RNA", at positions 524 to 776 of the family's 1533-position model. The record is from RNAcentral.